RNAcentral lists this ribosomal RNA (679 nucleotides) under uncultured bacterium. Its description in RNAcentral is "bacterial SSU rRNA". It matches the Rfam family "Bacterial small subunit ribosomal RNA", at positions 1 to 677 of the family's 1533-position model. The record is from RNAcentral.
CCCUUAGAGUUUGAUCCUGGCUCAGAUUGAACGCUGGCGGCAUGCCUUACACAUGCAAGUCGAGCGGCAGCGCGGGGGCAACCCUGGCGGCGAGCGGCGAACGGGUGAGUAAUGCAUCGGAACGUGUCCUCCUGUGGGGGAUAACCAGUCGAAAGAUUGGCUAAUACCGCAUGAGAUCGCGAGAUGAAAGCAGGGGACCGCAAGGCCUUGCGCGAGAGGAGCGGCCGAUGCCGGAUUAGCUAGUUGGUGGGGUAAUGGCCCACCAAGGCGACGAUCCGUAGCUGGUCUGAGAGGACGACCAGCCACACUGGGACUGAGACACGGUCCAGACUCCUACGGGAGGCAGCAGUGGGGAAUAUUGGACAAUGGGCGCAAGCCUGAUCCAGCCAUGCCGCGUGUGUGAAGAAGGCCUUAGGGUUGUAAAGCACUUUCAGUGGGGAGAAAGGUCAUUCACCUAAUACGUGAGUGAAUUGAUGUUACCCACAGAAGAAGCACCGGCUAACUCCGUGCCAGCAGCCGCGGUAAUACGGAGGGUGCAAGCGUUAAUCGGAAUUACUGGGCGUAAAGCGCACGUAGGUGGUUUGUUAAGCCAGCUGUGAAAUCCCCGGGCUCAACCUGGGCACUGCAGUUGGAACUGGCAAGCUAGAGUAGGGUAGAGGGGUGUGGAAUUCCAGGUGUA